UACGUAGGGGGCGAGCGUUGUCCGGAGUUACUGGGCGUAAAGCGCACGCAGGCGGUCUGUUAAGUUUGGAGUGACAGUUGGUGGCUUAACUGCCAAAGUGCUUCGAAAACUGACAGACUUGAGGGCUUCAGAGGGACACGGAAUUCCGGGGUGGAGUGGUGAAAUGCGUAGAGAUCCGGAGGAACACCAAAGGCGAAAGGC
This 201-nucleotide ribosomal RNA is filed under the name uncultured bacterium. Its description in RNAcentral is "partial 16S ribosomal RNA". It matches the Rfam family "Bacterial small subunit ribosomal RNA", at positions 524 to 722 of the family's 1533-position model. The record is from RNAcentral.